Molecule: ribosomal RNA, 423 nt
Filed under: uncultured bacterium
Lineage: Bacteria
Description: bacterial SSU rRNA
Rfam family: Bacterial small subunit ribosomal RNA
Source: RNAcentral
UGAGGAAUAUUGAUCAAUGGGCGCGAGCCUGAACCAGCCAAGUAGCGUGAAGGAUGAAGGUCCUAUGGAUUGUAAACUUCUUUUAUAGCAGAAUAAAGUGACCCACGUGUGGGUUUUUGUAUGUAUGCUAUGAAUAAGGAUCGGCUAACUCCGUGCCAGCAGCCGCGGUAAUACGGAGGAUCCGAGCGUUAUCCGGAUUUAUUGGGUUUAAAGGGUGCGUAGGCGGAAAGAUAAGUCAGCCUGUGAAAGUUUGCGGCUCAACCGUAAAAUUGCAGUUGAUACUGUUUUUCUUGAGUGUACAUAAGGUAGGCGGAAUUCGUGGUGUAGCGGUGAAAUGCUUAGAUAUCACGAAGAACUCCGAUUGCGAAGGCAGCUUACCGGGGUACAACUGACGCUGAUGCACGAAAGUGUGGGUAUCAAACA